AAGGUUAGAAUGAAGAAGGUUGAAAAUAACAAGGUUAAAAGAAGAAAGUUGGAAUUGAAAAUGAUAGAAUAAAGAAGGCUAGAAAUAAUAAGUUUGAAAUGAAAAAGACUGGGAAUAAAAAGAUUAAAAUGAAGAAGAUUAGAAUGAAGAAGAUUUAAAUGAUAAGAUUGGAAUGAAGAAGUUUAAGAAUGAAAAGGUUUGAAUAAAAAAGGUUAAAAAUGACAAGGUUAGAAUGAAGAAGGUUGAAAAUGAUAAG
This 256-nucleotide long non-coding RNA is filed under the name Physcomitrium patens. Its description in RNAcentral is "long non-coding RNA (PPAT_LNC008784)". Lineage: Eukaryota; Viridiplantae; Streptophyta; Bryopsida; Funariales; Funariaceae. The record is from RNAcentral.